GAAAUUUUAGUUUAAUAAAAAUAUUUCAUUUACAAUGAAGAGAUUUUAUAAUGGAAAAAAUUUCA
This 65-nucleotide transfer RNA is filed under the name Chrysis ruddii. RNAcentral describes it as "tRNA-Val". Lineage: Eukaryota; Metazoa; Arthropoda; Insecta; Hymenoptera; Chrysididae. The record is from RNAcentral.